This is a non-coding RNA of Chiloscyllium plagiosum (whitespotted bambooshark), 72 nucleotides long. NCBI's taxonomy places the organism in Eukaryota, Metazoa, Chordata, Chondrichthyes, Orectolobiformes, Hemiscylliidae. The record is from the annotation of a RefSeq genome assembly.
GGGCUUGUGGCGCAACGGUAGCGCGUCUGACUCCAGAUCAGAAGGUUGUGUGUUCAAGUCAUGUCAGGCUCA